RNAcentral lists this ribosomal RNA (493 nucleotides) under uncultured bacterium. RNAcentral describes it as "partial 16S ribosomal RNA". It matches the Rfam family "Bacterial small subunit ribosomal RNA", at positions 28 to 507 of the family's 1533-position model. The record is from RNAcentral.
GACGAACGCUGGCGGCGUGCUUAACACAUGCAAGUCGAACGGUGAAGCACCUUCCUUUUGGUGGGUGUGGAUGAGUGGCGAACGGGUGAGUAACACGUGAGUAACCUGCCCCCUUCUUCUGGAUAACCGCAUGAAAGUGUGGCUAAUACGGGAUAUUCUGCGCCUGUCGCAUGGCGGGCCUGGUAAAGAUAUGGUUUCGGUGGGGGAUGGGCUCGCGGCCUAUCAGCUUGUUGGUGGGGUGAUGGCCUACCAAGGCGGGGACGGGUAGCCGGCCUGAGAGGGUGGGCGGUCACACUGGGGCUGAGCCACGGCCCAGACUCCUACGGGAGGCAGCAGUGGGGAAUAUUGCACAAUGGGCGCCAGCCUGAUGCAGCGACGCCGCGUGAGGGAUGGAGGCCUUCGGGUUGUAAACCUCUUUCGCCAGUGAAGCAGGCCUGUCCCUUUUGUGGGUGGGUUGACGGUAGCUGGAUAAGAAGCGCCGGCUAACUACGUG